This 370-nucleotide ribosomal RNA is filed under the name uncultured organism. RNAcentral describes it as "bacterial SSU rRNA". It matches the Rfam family "Bacterial small subunit ribosomal RNA", at positions 527 to 896 of the family's 1533-position model. The record is from RNAcentral.
CGAAGGGGCUAGCGUUGUUCGGAAUUACUGGGCGUAAAGGGCGCGUAGGCGGCCUUGAUAGUUGGGCGUGAAAGGCCUGGGCUCAACCCGGGAACUGCGUUCAAUACUGUAAGGCUAGAGUGUGGGAGAGGUUGGUGGAAUUCCCAGUGUAGAGGUGAAAUUCGUAGAUAUCGGGAAGAACACCGGUGGCGAAGGCGGCCAACUGGACCACAACUGACGCUGAGGCGCGAAAGCGUGGGGAGCAAACAGGAUUAGAUACCCUGGUAGUCCACGCUGUAAACUAUGUGUGCUUGACGUCGGGGGGCCUAGCCCUUCGGUGUCGGAGCUAACGCGGUAAGCACACCGCCUGGGGAGUACGGUCGCAAGAUUA